CUAUCAAAUAUCACAUAUAUUUAUUUAUAUUUUGCAAUUACAAUGAUUCUCUGAAAUAAAAUUCUCUUCUCGUAUUUGUAUAUAAAGAUUCAUGUAAAAAAAGUAUUAUUCAGCGAUGAUCCAAGAUUUUAUAUAGUUCGAUAAACUAGUAAAAUUUCGAUCGUAUAAAUAGAGUUCCAUGGAUAAAAAAGAACAGCUGAUCGGCUACAGUGCAUUGGGCGGUUAUGUAAUGGGCGUGUUUUCGUGUGCAAUGACUCGAUUUCAUCUACGAGGAACCGAAUAUUUGCACACAUUCUAAUGCGCACGCUUAUGCAAUCUGUUUUUUGGCAGAUUUAUUUGUAACUCGUCGACCUGUUAAAUGUAUCUUUUAGUAAAAGUCAGUGAAAGUAAGCUCUUCUGCUCGUUGAAAUUUUCAUAACGACGAAUCAAUCAAUAUUCUAUCAAAGAAAUUAUUUUAAUCGUUUGAAAUCAAUAAGUCAUCAUUCAAAAUCGUUCUUUCUAUUUGUAUUUACUGAAAUUUUCAAUGAUAAAAAAUAUAAGUUACAUAAAGUAAAAUGUUCUGUAAUCUAAGGGUACUGAAUAAAAAGUACAAAAAAUUAUUUUUUUAUAUUUCUUACAAUUUUUAUCAUAAUCGUUGUAGCAAAUGUUUCGACAAAUAUUUUGUAUUCUGUUUUCAUAUACAAAAUUUUGGGAAGACGAAAAGACUAACGUAAAACACAUAUACAGAAAAUAGAGAGAAAAGUAAAGGUGCACGUUUCGUCGUGACCCAAUCUCGUCUCAUUUAGGCUGAGUGGAGUAGACUCAUCCAAUUUGGACUACUCAGCGAACCUGAAUUUCGCUACAAAUGUCGAAACUCUGUCGGCGAGCGAUGCUUCUACACGUAUCGUGGCAUAAAUCUUGCUUAAGAAGGAAAAAAAAUCACUAUUAAGUUUCCUUAAACUUCCACUAAAGAUAUAACCUCGACUUAGUCUUAUCAGAUAAUUACAAUUUACAUGCUAAUUAUUUAAAACAAUGUUAGUCUAUAACCGAGGAUUAAAUUCAUGAAGAAAGUUCUCGCUGUAAUAAGAUUAAAUUUGAUGAGCGAACGCGAUAAAAGUCGCAUAUUCGCGCGAUUAAUUGAGAGAAAAGUUGAAUAUUGGAAGAAAGCUAACGAGAAAAGAGAAAACGUACGAUUACAUGUUAUUUAUAUACUUCGAUCGACAAUUAAUGACUAUUUUUGGAAGAAUUUUUUUAAAUAUAAUCGACGCCAGAGGUUAAGAAUCGGACAUUAUGGUGAACCAGAGAGGACGUUCGAGGUUGUGUCCUCAGGUUGCAUAAUGCUGUCGUUAAAUUUCGACGUAGGUCUCAGCAACGUGCCAGAAACGAAAAUAUCUCUACGAUCAGGGAUCCGGACAGAUCUAUUCGAUGGUUUAAAAUCAGUGAUAUCUUGAGUUGGAUAUAAUUUAAAGUGUGUACUAUUUGAAUAUAAAUAUUGGAUAUCCUUUAUAAAGCGAGCCGGCGUACGCAUGGUUCAACCGAUACGUGUUUCGCGUGAUAGCCGAUCGUCUGGUAUUCGUGAAAGGAAUUCCAAGGGCACUAGUAUCUGAACCUCGAAAGGACGGUCAACGCACCAUGGAUUUCUUUGUGCGAUUCAACCGCAUUUCUAAAUCGUUUUAACGUACCAUUAAAAAACGGUUAGGUUUGAUAGAUUCGAAGAAUGAAAAAAUUGUUAUCGAGAACUAUUUUACAAAAAAUUAUUUUAAUAUUUAAACAAAUUAUUUUCUCACCUCAGAAAUGAUUUAUAUAAUUCGAAAAAACAAACACAAUCACAAUGAAACCACAUGCAUUUAUAACUUACACGGCCAUAAAGUAUAAAUUAACCUAGUAUCUCAUCAAUAAUGAACAGACAAAAACUAAAAUACAAUCUGUCUUCGCAUUAACGCUUAAAGAUGGACACGCCUAUAUUUUCCAUUCGAGAGGAAUAUAAUUACCGAUUGGAAAAGAAAAUCACAGGAUAUCCCGGAUGACGAAGCUGAAUCAAUCGUUAAAGAUGAAGAGAUUAAGUUGAAUGUUCCAAACAAAGGAACUCGAACCGGACAAUGGCUUCUUUCGCUCUCGAUGCUUCUAGUGAUCUUUGUCGCAGGAAGAGAGAGCGAAUAACCAAAGUAACAAGGAACCAUAACACGAUAGAUGAGCAACUGUAAUGAUAUUUUCUCGUGUAGUGCGACCAAUCGUGUACCGGUAAUUAAAGGGCGUGGAAACUAGGUGGCAGUGCGCUUGGCUACCGGGCCAUUUUUUUCUUUCGACACAGAUACGAUGAAAAGUGCGCCGCAUAUUGUGCACAUUGAAAAGAACACUACACUGUGUAUAAUACUAGAUGGUAAGCGUAGAAAAUUUUCACUCAAUAGUGAGAAACUUGAUGUCGCAAAAGAAUACAAGCCGAGACCUUUCUCUCCCUUCUAAUAACUAAUUUUGAUAUGCAAAAUUAAUUAAUGAAAGAAUACAUUAGUUCUCCGUUAUUAUUUUCAUCGUUAUGUUAUUUUAGUAUAAUAUGAUAUUUCACAUUGUAAAUUGUAGAAAUAAAAUUAUAGAAUAAUUUUAAUAAUUAACAUUUUUAAUAAUAUAGAAUUUUCAAAUUAAAUCAAGGAUUCUUCUUGAAAUAUAAUUAAUUGCAUGGAAAAAGAAUAAUUAUACUUAACUUUUUUCUCUUUUAAUUGAAUGUCAAUUUAAAAACAAAGAUUUUAAUUGAAAUUUAAUAACGAAACUUUUAUUUAUAUAUGUAUAAAUACAUAUGAAAUAAUCAAUAUUAAAUUUAAUUAAAUUUUAGUUAAAUUAAAUUUGAUAAUUUAAUUUUGUGCAUUACAAAUAUUAUGUAAAUUAAUAUUAUAAUUAUAAUCAACUUUGAAUUUAAAAUUAAGUUAAAUAAUAAUUAAAUGGGAUUCUUCAAUUAAAAGAAAAAAAGUUUAUUGUAGAAAGCUUUUAUUCAAUCAAAGCUUAAAAGAAUUCAAUAAACACCACUUCUUUUUGUCCAAUUACUAAUUGGCUUAACUUAAGGGGACUUACUUUUUUAUUCAUUUUUUUCUUUCGUCCAAUCUUUUAUUUAAUUCUCAUUAGUUGAAAUAGCAUUGAAAGAAAGUUAAUAAAUAUGUACAAUUAAAAUAUUUAUUUUCCAUAAAUUGUUAAUAUUAUCUAUAUUAUUUUUCUAAAAUUCACAUUAAUAUCUAUUUUUUAUUAUUUCUUAACGAUUUAAUCUUCGUUCUCAAAAUACACAAAGCAAAAUACUCAAGCUAAAUCAACGAAAUCACAAAAUUCCUGUCAACAUAACCUACUUUACGAAACCUAAUCAACUAAUUCACAAACGCUUCCUUCGAACACCCUUCAAAUAUUCCUAAACCUAAUUCAACAGAAUUCCCAAACACAUCUCCCAAACACAUCUCAAAUAUUCUCAACCUUCUGCUUAUUUGCAAAUUUCACCUUCCCAUCUUUCCUAACCUCUUUCCCCGCCAACUUUUAUUUCUCCAAUUUCUUAUUUGAGAAAUUACGAGCAUACAUCGAGACACUAUCUGUUCUGAUAUCAAUAUCGAUAAACAGAAAUGGGAACGAAAUUUCUGGAUUUUCUAUUAAACUUGUUUCACUUUCUGUACGUGUAUAUGAAUAUGUGCACCAGACGUCAAAAGGUAAAGUUACAAUCAUCGAGGCUAUUCGGCCAUUACAGAAUGUUGGAUCGGUAACGACGGGCGGAUACUUUCAUUUUUCUCUUUUCUUUUCUUCGUUUUCUCGAACAAAAUUAACCAGCUACUCUUCACUGUGGACUUUAAGAAAGGUUACCGGAUGAGGGUCAGGUAUUCUUUCAACGUAUAUCCUUCACCAUGUAAGUGUUAAGUACAAGAUCUGCGAGGUUACUAGCGAGAUUAGACCUACAACACCAAUAAUCGAAUAAUAACAAAGUCGACCAGCUUAUUUCCUCUUAUACCCAUCUAUUUCGGAAGCGGCUUAUUCUACAAGAUCAGUAUCAGAGGCCGCCACGGUUCAGACUACAUCGGUUAUAAUCUAUCUUUUUUGAAAUUACUCGUUAUUUUGAAUGGAUACUCGAUGAAUGGGUAUUCUGGAAUAGUUUAAACGUUUCUGGAAGUAAUUUUAGAAGAACCAGUAUAUUUUGGGGCGUUGCUACGUUAUUACAAGAUUUUAAGGUUAAGAAAUAGGUUAUGUAGGAGUAGAGUAAUUUAAUAUUCUAACCUAAUCACUGAAAUAAUUUUGCACUAUCGAAGUUUCUGUAAGGAUCAAUUAAAUUUGAAUAAACUGGACGAUUAUGCGAACACUUCCGUGUUCUGUACCCGAAGAAAAUGAUUCUGAGUGCGGACGAUAAAGAUAUCCGCUGCUUGGCGAAUUAUCGGAAAUACGAUGUUGUCGUCGCAUGUAACUGCGUGUAAACGUGUGCAUGAUCAUAAAUCACAAGCAAUGUAACUAUGCAUUUUACUUGCAACGAUGGGGAUGUCAGCAAUACUUGAAGAUUUACACGAAACAUUUUCGUUACUACGCUAUAUUUUUAUUUCACGGAAAAUCAUUGAGAAACAGUUAAAGUGAUAAAAAUAAAAAUAAAAUUAAUAAAAUAAAAUAAACAAAGAAGAAACUAAAAAAAGUAAAUAAAACAAAGGAAGAAAGAAAAAAAUGAAUGAAAAAUAUCAAAGAAAAAUAAAGACAAGGUGAAAGGAAAAUAAUAAAAAAUGAAAGGAAUGAUAGUAAUAAAGAUGAAAAAGGAGAGAAAGUACCUUAAGUGCCGGAUCCUCAAUUUUGUCCACGUAAACGUAUGACAAAGGUACAGACCAAGAGAAAACGAUGAAAAAUCGGUAGAUGGCAAAGCCCCGUAACAAACACGCAAGAGAAAAUUGUAGCAUUUGCGGCACGUGAGAGGAUUGCAUGCAGUCCGCGUAAAAAGUCUAAGAAUCUAUGUGUAAAUAUAGUACAAAGAAACGGUCAGGUAAUUCAAAUGGAACUAUAUGAUAAUUAUGAUAUAUAUAUAUGUACAGAACGAUGCAUGCAAGUUGAAACGGACUAUUUUCUGAUUCUAAUUGAACGAAAAUGUUAGGAGAAAGGUGAUCAGAAUUCUCCAAGACAAUAAUAAAUGUGCGACAAUAAAUUUAUCAAUAAUACUAAUAAUUUACAAAUGGCAAAUUAUAGAUUAUGGAAUUUCACGUUUCUUAAAAUUCACCCUGUAUACAUUAAAGCACAGAGAUAUUUCCUUCAAACAUGGCUGACAUAUCAUAAGAGAUAUUAAGCUCGCUUAACGAAGAUUGCAGUACGAAAGUUAGUAACGCUUUCUGAAACCCAGUUGAAAGAUAUUCAAACUGGUUCACGAGCUUUCUGCGUUAUAUUCAUUUCCAUUUUUUACCACAUGGUAAGAAAAAGGAGAAAAAAAAUGAGAAGAAGGAAAAAGAAGAACUUGGCUCAUUAGAACUUAAAAUAACAGAAAUGAGAAAAAUUUGGAAAAAAGUAUAGAUAAUAAAGAAGUUUGGAUCUUUGA
Molecule: long non-coding RNA, 5500 nt
Organism: Apis cerana (Asiatic honeybee)
Lineage: Eukaryota; Metazoa; Arthropoda; Insecta; Hymenoptera; Apidae
Source: RefSeq, a predicted model, not a curated record